AUACGUAUGGCGCAAACGUUGUUCGGAAUCACUGGGCCUAAAGAGCGCGUAGGCGGUUAGGUAAGUCAGAUGUGAAAUCCCCCGGCUCAACCGGGGAACUGCACCUGAUACUGCCUGGCUAGAGUGCAGGAGGGGAGAGUGGAAUUCCUGGUGGAGCGGUGAAAUGCGUAGAUAUCAGGAGGAACGCCGGCGGCGAAAGCGGCUCUCUGGUCUGUUACUGACGCUGAGGCGCGAAAGCUAGGGGAGCAAACGGGAUUAGAAACCCCGGUAGUCC
RNAcentral lists this ribosomal RNA (274 nucleotides) under uncultured bacterium. Its description in RNAcentral is "partial 16S ribosomal RNA". It matches the Rfam family "Bacterial small subunit ribosomal RNA", at positions 523 to 796 of the family's 1533-position model. The record is from RNAcentral.